GGCUUUAGCCACGCCUGUGUCUGGGUGUUCCGUGCCAUCGAGGAGUCAAAGCCACACAUGGACCUUGAUUAUUGCAAUGCUCCUGAGCAUCCUGGUUGCUCUGGGUUCUGUCGCUGUCUGGGGCCUGUCCAAAGCAAAAAGCAGAUCUGACAUCUUCAGUCCUGAAAAAGCAUCCAGGGAACAGCUGGUGCCUGACAAGAACCCGACAGGCUCAUUUCCCUCAAGGGGAUCUUUACUGUGAGGUGAUGAGAUGGGACUAGCCUGCUCUCUCCUUCCUGCUCACCGCAGAGACUGACUGAAUUGGACAUAAACUCUCAAAUCUGCGUUGUUACACUGGAAAAACAAGAGGAUGCUCCCCUUGGAAAUGAGUCUUAGAUUGUGGGACAACUUUGGCACUGGAAAUAACGCAGGACCUUCCCUGGUGCUGUGAAAUCACCAUCACAGAGGUGGUAGAAAUUCCUUCAUGGUUCUUGCCUCCAGCAGUUGUUAAUACUGAUUCUCACCAGUGCAGCCUUGGACCCAAAUAUUUUAUUCUCCAUGACAUGACCGGCACUAGGUGCUAUUCAGCUGUUUUCUUCCACUUCCAGCCAAGAGACGUUUUUCACCUGCCCCAUUCUUCCCUCUGGGUUUUGUCGGGCAACAGAGGCUUUUCAUCCAUUCCAGCAGGAGCUCACUGACCCCGCACAGAUCAGAUGUGUAGUCCAUGUUUGCGCUGUUGUUUUGAUGCUGUUCGUUCCGGUGUACAGGCAGCUUUUUACUGACAGGUCAGCACAGGUGUGAAAGUUGAAAAUCUCUCUCUCUGCUCUGGCUUUUGCUGCGCUGCCACCCCCGUCAGCACAGGGCGAGCAGCUCCUGGGCUCACUCCCUGCCAGUGUGUUGCUUCUCUAACACUCUUAAAGGUUUCUUCCUUAAAACUAUUCUGACAUGAGUGGUGUACCUCAAGGAUCCAUACUGGGACCAACGCUAUUUAAUAUCCUCGCCAGUGGUGUGUAUAGUGGGGUCGAGCGCACCCUCAGCAAGUUUAUGGGUGACACCGAGCUGAGCAGUGCAGUCGAUUCACUGAGGGAGGGGACACCCCCCCAUCCAGAGGGACCUUCAGUGCGCCCGUGUGAACAUCAUGAAGUUCAGUAAGGUCAAGUGCAAGGUCCUGCACCAUCACUGGAGAAGAGAAAGCUCUAGGGAGACCUUGUUGUGUCUUUUCUAUAUAUAAAGGGGCUUGUAAGAAGAAUAGAGGGUUUUACCAAAGCCUGCAGUGACAGGACAAGGGGCAAUGGUUAUACACUGAAAGAGCGGAGAUUUCACUUGCACAUAAGGAAGAAAUGUUCAGUGAGGGUGGUGAGCAAGCUGGUUUAGUGGAAGGUGUCCCUGCCCAUGGCAGGGGGUUGGACUAGGUCAUCUUUAAGGUCCUCUCCAACCCAGUCUGUACUACUAUGAGGCUUUGAACAUUUGUCCUUUUUUUUUUCAGCUUGAAAUAAGUCGUGUCUUGAAUCAAACACUGCAUGUCAUGGCACGUGUAGCUCUUUCUGCACAGCUCAGUGCUGUUUGCUUUCAGAAGAACUGACAGCGGAGGGAGGAGAUUCCUGACCAGUGCCUCUAGUUCAGUGCUGACCACGUGUUCUGUGCACAAGCGUUCACUGGGUGCGCAAAGGACUGAAAGCAGCUGCCUCGGCGCUGAUCUCUGUGCCUUAGAGGUGAGAACUCGCCUUGCCAAGCAGACACCGGUCAGCAGCCUCAGGGCAGGAGUCUUCCCCUCCUAGGGGGUGUGCAAGUGUGCUGCUGCACCCGUGGGGAGAAACUUCUCUUGUGGUCUGGAGUGUUAGUUAUUCCAGUGCUGCUGGUUUUAGUACCAAGGGUCCUUUGCAAGGGUGUGCAGAACCUUCCUUCUGUUUCCAUAGGGACAAGUAGAGAUGCAAUAGUUGUUGGUGAAUGGCACAGGAGAAUAAAGAACUUGAAACUAGUGAGUUCUGGAUUUUUUUGUUUUUCUUGGAUUUGUGCUUUAGCUUGAAUUCUGUAGUUGGGAACUGUAUCACCUUUGGAUUGUCACGACUCGUGGAGGGUGGGCAGACAGGGAAAGCGAGCGCUG
RNAcentral lists this long non-coding RNA (2083 nucleotides) under Columba livia (rock pigeon). RNAcentral describes it as "partial uncharacterized LOC102098501". The record is from RNAcentral. Lineage: Eukaryota; Metazoa; Chordata; Aves; Columbiformes; Columbidae.